Molecule: ribosomal RNA, 27 nt
Filed under: Starmerella bacillaris
Lineage: Eukaryota; Fungi; Ascomycota; Dipodascomycetes; Dipodascales; Trichomonascaceae
Description: partial 28S ribosomal RNA
Source: RNAcentral
AAUCAAGCAAGGUUACCCGCUGAACUU